This is a long non-coding RNA of Ficedula albicollis (Collared flycatcher), 414 nucleotides long. RefSeq lists it as uncharacterized. The transcript is spliced from 3 exons. The record is from RefSeq and is a predicted model, not a curated record. NCBI's taxonomy places the organism in Eukaryota, Metazoa, Chordata, Aves, Passeriformes, Muscicapidae.
AGAUUGAAGUGAAGAUAUGAAAACACAAAUACUUGAAAAGUUACAUUCCUGGAAAAGAGAGACACAGAGAAGCUGACAGAGAAAGCUGAUGCUCAGGAGUACACUAAGAACCUUCAGAGGAAGAUUAUGCCAUACACAGUCAGGUGGCAUUUGUCCAGAAGCUGACAUGUCCUUUCAUUGCUAAAAACCUUGGUUUGGAAUGGAAUGGAGUCAAGUACAGGAAGGAAAAGAUUAUGGAAACAGUAAGAAUUUGAGACCUCAGCGAUCUUCAGACACAAUAAAACAUUUUCUCCUGUUAUCAGCAGCCAUAAAAAACAUAGAGAUGCUGCAACCCAAGUACCCAAGUGAAGGCACAGUUCCAUCUGAGAAUGCUUUGGGUUCCAGAAGGUUCAGGUUCACAGCAUGAACUUAGAG